This 406-nucleotide ribosomal RNA is filed under the name uncultured Chloroflexota bacterium. Its description in RNAcentral is "bacterial SSU rRNA". It matches the Rfam family "Bacterial small subunit ribosomal RNA", at positions 521 to 926 of the family's 1533-position model. Lineage: Bacteria; Bacillati; Chloroflexota. The record is from RNAcentral.
UAAAACGUAGGAGGCGAGCGUUAUCCGGAUUUACUGGGCGUAAAGCGUACGCAGGUGGCUUCGUUAGUCGGACAUGAAAGCUCCUGGCUUAACUGGGAGAGGUUGUUCGAUACUGCGGGGCUUGAGGUUGGGAGAGGGACGUGGAAUUCCCGGUGUAGUGGUGGAAUGCGUAGAUAUCGGGAGGAACACCAGUGGCGCAAGCGGCGUCCUGGCCCACACCUGACGCUGAGGUACGAAAGCGUGGGUAGCAAACAGGAUUAGAUACCCUGGUAGUCCACGCUGUAAACGAUGUCAACUGGGUGUCGGUAGUUUUACACUAUCGGUGCCGAAGCUAACGCGUUAAGUUGACCGCCUGGGGACUACGGCCGCAAGGCUAAAACUCAAAGGAAUUGACGGGGGCCCGCAC